GGUACCGUGGUGCGAGCGGCGGGGGUAUGAUGGAGGGGCCGAGCGGUGUUGUGAUUCACUGGGCGCAAAGGGUGCUGAGGUGGUGUGGUAAGUCGGAUGUGAAAUCUCCAGGCUCAACCUGGAAACUGCAUUGGAAACUACCUUGCUGGAGGAUUUGGUGGGGGAUGGUAAUACUUGGUGUAGCAGUGAAAUGCGUAGAUAUCAAGUGGAACACCAGUGGCGAAGGCGAAUCCCUGGAAAAUACCUGACACUGAGGCACGAAAGCUAGGGGAGCAAACAGGAUUAGAUACCCUUGUAGUC
Molecule: ribosomal RNA, 300 nt
Filed under: uncultured Pyrobaculum sp.
Lineage: Archaea; Thermoproteati; Thermoproteota; Thermoprotei; Thermoproteales; Thermoproteaceae
Description: bacterial SSU rRNA
Rfam family: Bacterial small subunit ribosomal RNA
Source: RNAcentral